RNAcentral lists this ribosomal RNA (483 nucleotides) under uncultured bacterium. Its description in RNAcentral is "partial 16S ribosomal RNA". It matches the Rfam family "Bacterial small subunit ribosomal RNA", at positions 28 to 507 of the family's 1533-position model. The record is from RNAcentral.
GACGAACGCUGGCGGCGUGCUUAACACAUGCAAGUCGAACGCUGAAGCUCAGCUUUUGUUGGGUGGAUGAGUGGCGAACGGGUGAGUAACACGUGAGUAACCUGCCUCCUUCUUUGGGAUAACGCCCGGAAACGGGUGCUAAUACUGGAUAUUCACUGGUCUUCGCAUGGGGGUUGGUGGAAAGGGUUUUUCUGGUGGGGGAUGGGCUCGCGGCCUAUCAGCUUGUUGGUGGGGUGAUGGCCUACCAAGGCUUUGACGGGUAGCCGGCCUGGGAGGGUGACCGGUCACAUUGGGACUGAGAUACGGCCCAGACUCCUACGGGAGGCAGCAGUGGGGAAAAUUGCACAAUGGGCGCAAGCCUGAUGCAGCGACGCCGCGUGAGGGAUGGAGGCCUUCGGGUUGUGAACCUCUUUCGCUCAUGGUCAAGCCGCAACAAUGGUUGUGGUGAGGGUAGUGGGUAAAGAAGCGCCGGCUAACUACGUG